Molecule: transfer RNA, 72 nt
Filed under: Anguilla anguilla (European eel)
Lineage: Eukaryota; Metazoa; Chordata; Actinopteri; Anguilliformes; Anguillidae
Description: tRNA-OTHER
Source: RNAcentral
GACAGUGUAGUAUAAUGGUUAAGGAGUUGGUCUUAUAACCUAAAUGUCGCCGGUUCGAUUCCCCCACUGCCG